This is a regulatory RNA element of Pseudoruegeria aquimaris, 99 nucleotides long. It matches the Rfam family "Pyrrolysine insertion sequence mttB". NCBI's taxonomy places the organism in Bacteria, Pseudomonadati, Pseudomonadota, Alphaproteobacteria, Rhodobacterales, Roseobacteraceae. The record is from Rfam.
UCGCCGAUGCCAAGCUGCCCGACAUGCAGGCCGGCUGGGAACAGGCGACCUCCAACGUCAUGGCGGGGCUGUCGGGGCUGAACAUGAUCUACGAGGCCG